UUAUACACUAUAGAUGAGUUAAUACCCAAUAUAGUCCUCGACUAUAGUGAUUUUACUCAAUUUAGUCCUAAGUGACUUUUUGUACUCUAUUUAGUCUCUGACUUUAAUGGUUUUACCCACUUUAGUCCUCUGUUAAA
Ipomoea nil (Japanese morning glory) is the source of this 137-nucleotide long non-coding RNA. RefSeq lists it as uncharacterized. The transcript is spliced from 3 exons. Lineage: Eukaryota; Viridiplantae; Streptophyta; Magnoliopsida; Solanales; Convolvulaceae. The record is from RefSeq and is a predicted model, not a curated record.